AACUUUCAACAACGGAUCUCUUGGCUCUCGCAUCGAUGAAGAACG
This 45-nucleotide ribosomal RNA is filed under the name uncultured fungus. RNAcentral's name for it is "partial 5.8S ribosomal RNA". It matches the Rfam family "5.8S ribosomal RNA", at positions 1 to 45 of the family's 154-position model. Rfam says of the family: 5.8S ribosomal RNA (5.8S rRNA) is a component of the large subunit of the eukaryotic ribosome. It is transcribed by RNA polymerase I as part of the 45S precursor that also contains 18S and 28S rRNA. Lineage: Eukaryota; Fungi. The record is from RNAcentral.